Molecule: long non-coding RNA, 732 nt
Filed under: Homo sapiens (human)
Lineage: Eukaryota; Metazoa; Chordata; Mammalia; Primates; Hominidae
Description: HSALNT0051366
Source: RNAcentral
CAACCUGAGGGACAGAGUGAGACUCCAUCUCAAAAAAAAAGCGGCCCCUCCUUCAGUUUAGCUUUCUUAUUCACAAAGUACUUUCACAUACAUUAUGCCCACUUGUUUCCAGCUGAGACUGACCAUGGACAUGCUCUUCUGAUUCUGUCUUGUUUGUAUAAUCCAAUUUCAUAGCUACAUUGCCAAGGAGGAUACAUUUCACAGGAUUACCAUUUAUGGUGGCUACAGAGAAUCCCACUGUUCUAAGCUCUAGUAUGCAAAACCAUUUCCCAAGUGUGCAUCUGGAAUAACUCAGUCUUUUUCUUUUAAGAAUAGUUGUGGUAAAGUGCCUUCUAUAAUAUUGUUUUUCCUUUCUUUGCAGUAUAUUUCCUUGAGUUCUCUAUCCCUUUGAGUGACACUAAUAUCAGGAGACAAUGGCACCAAGAGCCUGUGACUAGGCCUUUCCUUUAAGCUCAGAAGAAGACUGACAAAUGGGGAAGCCAAGCAGAUUCUAUGGCCCUUUUGUUACGUUCAUGCUUCACUCAUUUGUUCAGAAGUUUGUAGAGAGCCUUUCCUUGCUGAGCAAGAAGACAGGAAUACAGAGAUAGAUGCUCAACUGAAAGAUUGCAGACACAGGCUGGUUGACACAUACUUCUCUCAGCUGCCACAGAAGGGAUUCUUGCCUUAGAUAAAGAAGAUGGCCUUUGGAAGCCCUCAUAACCUGAGCUCUAGAUGGGGUCUUACUAUUUUGCC